Molecule: transfer RNA, 58 nt
Filed under: Asterionellopsis glacialis
Lineage: Eukaryota; Bacillariophyta; Plagiogrammaphyceae; Rhaphoneidales; Asterionellopsidaceae
Description: partial tRNA
Source: RNAcentral
CGUGACGCGUUGAAGUAUUUAAUGAGCUAUGAGGACGCACAAAAAAACACCCUACUCA